AUAAUGACGUAACUGAGCUAAUGAGGCAAUGAGAGAGAUAAUAUAU
This 46-nucleotide non-coding RNA is filed under the name Trypanosoma brucei brucei. Lineage: Eukaryota; Euglenozoa; Kinetoplastea; Trypanosomatida; Trypanosomatidae. The record is from RNAcentral.